Bison bison bison is the source of this 74-nucleotide microRNA precursor. Lineage: Eukaryota; Metazoa; Chordata; Mammalia; Artiodactyla; Bovidae. The record is from Ensembl.
GCCUUCGGUUGUCGCGCGAGCUCGGGCUCUGCGCUCGGAUGCCGGCUCGUGUUCGAGCUCGCGUCCCAUGGGGC